Molecule: ribosomal RNA, 497 nt
Filed under: uncultured bacterium
Lineage: Bacteria
Description: partial 16S ribosomal RNA
Rfam family: Bacterial small subunit ribosomal RNA
Source: RNAcentral
GAUGAACGCUGGCGGCGUGCCUAAUACAUGCGAGUCGAGCGAACAGACGAGGAGCUUGCUCCUCUGACGUUAGCGGCGGACGGGUGAGUAACACGUGGAUAACCUACCUAAAAGACUGGGAUAACUUCGGGAAACCGGAGCUAAUACCGGAUAAUAUAUUGAACCGCAUGGUGCAAUAGUGAAAGACGGUUUUGCUGUCACUUAUAGAUGGAUCCGCGCCGCAUUAGCUAGUUGGUAAGGUAACGGCUUACCAAGGCAACGAUGCGUAGCCGACCUGAGAGGGUGAUCGGCCACACUGGAACUGAGACACGGUCCAGACUCCUACGGGAGGCAGCAGUAGGGAAUCUUCCGCAAUGGGCGAAAGCCUGACGGAGCAACGCCGCGUGAGUGAUGAAGGUCUUCGGAUCGUAAAACUCUGUUAUUAGGGAAGAACAAAUGUGUAAGUAACUAUGCACGUCUUGACGGUACCUAAUCAGAAAGCCACGGCUAACUACGUG